This 482-nucleotide long non-coding RNA is filed under the name Physcomitrium patens. RNAcentral's name for it is "long non-coding RNA (PPAT_LNC010017)". The record is from RNAcentral. Lineage: Eukaryota; Viridiplantae; Streptophyta; Bryopsida; Funariales; Funariaceae.
UGUUAAAGCCAUACCUCAUUGUUGUUUAAUGCAAUAUCUAUUUCAUGAUUGAUUCUAUCCAUCCUCCUCUUUAUUGUUGUUCCUAGUAAUAUGUCUCAAUUUUCCUCUCUUAUUCCAAACUCCUAUAAUUUUUGUUCUGAGUCCCUUGUAUCUAUUUCUCUCCCUUGUUUCAAACUUCUUCCAUCAUUGUUCUUAGUUUCAUGUUUCAAUUCUCCUCCCUUCUCAUCCUUCUUAUCUCUCAUUCUAUGUAUUGACUACUUGUUGCAUUUUUCAAUCCUAGUACUUAUGUUUGCAUAAAAUUACAUAGAUACUACUAGGAUUAUUUGGAUACUUUUGGUAUAUUACUUAGAUCAGUGAAGACUUAGAUUAGUUUCCUAGAAUGUGAUCUUCUAAAGAAGUCUCAUAGAUGGUCAUUAAGUAUUAUAUAAUAAGUUAGUUGCCAAGGAUAAUAAAUCUUGUUGCCAAUUUUUAGUGGCAGGCAA